UACGGAGGGUGCAAGCGUUAAUCGGAAUUACUGGGCGUAAAGGGUGCGUAGGUGGCCCGAUCAGUCAGAUGUGAAAGCCCCGGGCUUAACCUGGGAACUGCAUUUGAUACUGUCGAGCUAGAGUAUGGUAGAGGGAAGUGGAAUUCCGGGUGUAGCGGUGAAAUGCGUAGAUAUCCGGAGGAACACCAGUGGCGAAGGCGACUUCCUGGACCAAUACUGACACUGAGGCACGAAAGCGUGGGUAGCAAACAGG
This 253-nucleotide ribosomal RNA is filed under the name uncultured bacterium. Its description in RNAcentral is "partial 16S ribosomal RNA". It matches the Rfam family "Bacterial small subunit ribosomal RNA", at positions 524 to 776 of the family's 1533-position model. The record is from RNAcentral.